GAGAGAAAGCCACAUCCUUUGCGUUUUAUUGUAUGUUACUAACAUUAAUAUCUGAAACUGAAUGGCCUCCAUAUGUGGGGAACACAGCCAUGAAAACUCCUGUUCCAUUCUCAUUCCCUGCUGCCACGUGUCUCCUUCUAAUUCCUGGCGUCUCUUCCCUUAGGUGUGGAUUCCACAAAUCCAAAGCAGGUGGAGGAACCAGGAGCUCCUCUUUCGGUAGCAACCCUCCUUGGUCAUCAUCCCAGCAUCCCUGUCCAGGCCUUCACAAACCCAAUGCUCUUGCAUCUGCCAGAAGACCUGAGAUCUCCUUUCUGAUGCUUCUUCCUUGAAAAGAUGUGAUGAAGUUGAAGCAAUUUGUGAUAAUACACAUCCUGGGAGUUUAAGGAAGGGCAAACCUCAAGCUACUCUUGGAGCCCACUCUACAUCCCACAAAGAGAAACAUGACCAAAUAUUUGCCAUUAAAAAGGCGAUUUCCUAUCCAUGCUACGACCCACAGUCAUUUGAAGGGGCUCUUCAACUCCAGCCAAGCUUGGCUAACACAGGAUAUCAGGGUAAGAAGUGCAGCUGAGACCCAGCACAAUUGCCACAGGCAGACCUCUUCUUGGAAUUCAGUUCAACUCAACAGAUAUUGACGAAAGUCCUACCGAGGAAGGACCUGGCGAUCCAAUGUGUGAUGCCACCAGGAACUCACCUACAGUCAAACCAACUAGAAGGUAAAGCAACUAUAACCAAAGCCACCAAAACAGGAGAUGUCAAACCCCACACCAAGUUUCAUGUGGCAGGAAGGGGAAGCACCAAAAGAGACUCUUGCAAAAUUUCAAAUACCUUGAGAGAAGUCAAUGUCACUGUGAUAGACCAAAAACUCUGCAAUGACGUAGAGCACUAUAAUUUUACGCCAGUUAUUGACAACAGCAUGAUCCGUGCUGGUCCUCGAAAAGGUGAAGAUGAUUCAUAAGAAGGGGAUUCUGGAAGUCCUCUGAUAUGUGAUAACACUUUCAGAGGUGUCACUUCCUUGGGAAGUGUGGGAACCCCCAGAAGCCUUGUAUCUACAUUCUCCUUACAAAAAAGUAUCUCAGCUGGAUAAAGAAAACCAUUGCAGGAGCCAUAUGCCAUUCCUUCUUCAAAGAAGAGAAUGGUGGUAACCACCUGGAGAUGCCAAGCAAUCCUAAACAGCACCUCAGCAACCCUCCCAACCUUGUGUACAAAUGACAGCUUGUCUGAAGCAAAAUCAGCAGUGGAAAAAAAACAGCUUCUUGCUGUCACUCUUCACGAAUAGCUAAGACUGUUUCAUCACACGUUCUCCAUCCACAGCAAGAGAGGACCUUUGAGAAAAAGUUUCCCAGUUCAGUGACUCUGCUUUAUUCAGAAUUUGAGGACUGUCACUGUUGUGUUUGUCUUUAAAAGGAAGUCAAUCCCAGGAAAAGUUACAAUAUUCUUCAUUCUUCCAAAUAAAGCUCCAAAAUAUCAGUUGCCCUUGGAAUUUACAACCUGACACUCCAUUCAGUGUGGGAGUGAGGCGAGAGAUGAAAGGGUAUUUUCACUUCUUACUAUAGACUUCUGUAAAUUUUCAUAUUUUACAAAAUUUUUAAUUAUAAAGACAAUGAGAAAGAUUCAGUGUUUCAGAUAUUUGGAAAUUCAGAACUUGAAGUUAGGGAUUGUUCAGGGUAUUGCAUCAUUUACUAAUUACAAGUAGACUAAAGUUUCAUGUAACAAUGGGCCAUAGUCGAGCCAAUAUCUUGAUGUGUAUUUUGCCUUAACUAGUCAAUUUACACCUGUAAGCACUAAACUUAAUUCUAUGUUAUUCUCAAUAACUUGUGAUACAUAAUAAACAAAGUGGGUUUUUUUACCACCUACCAUUUA
Molecule: RNA transcript, 1860 nt
Organism: Equus caballus (horse)
Lineage: Eukaryota; Metazoa; Chordata; Mammalia; Perissodactyla; Equidae
Gene: GZMO
Gene name: granzyme A-like
Source: RefSeq, a predicted model, not a curated record